GAGGAUAAUUCUUGGAGGGCCCAUAUCGAUUACAAAAAAUGGCUCAUCCUUAUCGCAUUUGUUCUUUGCUAAUGACCUUUUCUUGUUUGUGGAAGUGGAUGUGAAUCAAACACAGAUGGUGAGGAAAGUUCUUGAUAUUUUCGAAGCGGUUUCGGGUCACAAAGUGAAUGCUAACAAGAUAGAGGUUUUAUUCUCUAAAAAUGUUUGGCCACUUGAAAAAGAUGGUAUUUGUAGUAUCCUGAG
This 243-nucleotide long non-coding RNA is filed under the name Gossypium barbadense (sea-island cotton). RNAcentral describes it as "long non-coding RNA (GBAR_LNC023406)". The record is from RNAcentral. Lineage: Eukaryota; Viridiplantae; Streptophyta; Magnoliopsida; Malvales; Malvaceae.